This 253-nucleotide ribosomal RNA is filed under the name uncultured bacterium. Its description in RNAcentral is "partial 16S ribosomal RNA". It matches the Rfam family "Bacterial small subunit ribosomal RNA", at positions 524 to 776 of the family's 1533-position model. The record is from RNAcentral.
UACGUAGGUGACAAGCGUUGUCCGGAUUUACUGGGCGUAAAGAGCGCGCAGGCGGUCGUUCAAGUCGAGUGUGAAAGCCCCCGGCUCAACUGGGGAGGGUCACUCGAUACUGAUCGACUCGAAGGCAGGAGAGGGUAGUGGAAUUCCCGGUGUAGUGGUGAAAUGCGUAGAUAUCGGGAGGAACACCAGUGGCGAAGGCGACUACCUGGCCUGUUCUUGACGCUGAGGCGCGAAAGCCAGGGGAGCAAACGGG